AUGAGACCUUCAUUCUUAACACACCAACAUUUGAAGUCAUCUUCUUCUUCCUCAUCUCUUCAACUCACGGCCAUAAACACACACAUACAACCACCAUUUUUCAUUCAUCUUCCAUCCAUUCCACAUAUGUACAAAGGUGUAAGGAGCUAAGUUAGGAAGCUUGGAGCUUUCGGAAAUUGAAGGACCUUCACCGAUUGCUUUUAUCCACUUGUUUUCUCCUCUUGAUCAUCCCUAGCCUUGAGCUAGUAGUAGUCGUGUUUGCCGAAGGGAUUUGAGUUACAAUUGUGAAGACGCAAUACUGGAAAUUGUAAAGUGGAUCUGGCGGACGUUGGAAGUUUUUAUGCUGCGUUAGAAAUAAAGAUGUCAUCCAUGGUCUUGAGUUUGGACAGUGUGUCUUAUUCCUGGACGAGACAUGUCUUCCAAACCUUGGUGUUAUUCAAUAUCUUUUGACGAAUCCUU
Molecule: long non-coding RNA, 459 nt
Filed under: Helianthus annuus (common sunflower)
Lineage: Eukaryota; Viridiplantae; Streptophyta; Magnoliopsida; Asterales; Asteraceae
Source: RNAcentral